AUCUGGGCGGCGGAAUUCAGGAUGGCCGGGCGAGUUUCGCGCUCGUCCGGCCGUUUGAUAUUUCCGUCGCCGUGUCGGACGUCGCGACCUGUUCGUCGUCGGUCCUUGCUCGGAGGAAUUGCGAUCGAGUUCGCAGCGCGAUGCGUUUCGGCGUGUCGUGCGGCGAAGACGCGACUCUCUGGCCGACGACAGACAGUAAGCAACGGUGUCCGACGCCGUGUCUCGCACUCGGCGCCGGUGCCGGUCUGCGACGAUUUCUUCGGGCCUCUUUCCGACCCGUCUUGAAACACGGACCAAGGAGUCUAACAUGCGCGCGAGUCGCGGGGUUUCGAGUGCGCUACGGCGCGCUCGUCACUUGCGAAACCCGUACGUGGAAGGCGUAAUGAAAGUGAACAGGGAAGAUGGCGUUCCGAGUCCACGUACCGUGAUCGAGUGUCGCGGCCGGACGUCCGCACUCCCGGGGCGUCUCAAUGGUUCGUCGCGGACGCGGACGGUCGUCUCUCGGGGCGAUGGUCGGUCUGCGUCGGACCGA
Molecule: ribosomal RNA, 532 nt
Filed under: Pseudaulacaspis grandilobis
Lineage: Eukaryota; Metazoa; Arthropoda; Insecta; Hemiptera; Diaspididae
Description: eukaryotic LSU rRNA
Source: RNAcentral